Molecule: long non-coding RNA, 479 nt
Organism: Dermacentor andersoni
Lineage: Eukaryota; Metazoa; Arthropoda; Arachnida; Ixodida; Ixodidae
Source: RefSeq, a predicted model, not a curated record
UGAACACCAACCAAGCUGGACUCAGUCUGACGUAUGUACUGCUACGAAGGCUUUUCUCAGUAACGGUGGAGGCAGGGCGAGCAGCUGUGGGUAGGCCUAUUGUUGCCACCAUUUGGCGAAGACGAUUUCAGGAUGCAAAAGUGCUCAAUUUGGCUCUUCAUACUUUACUUGGCAAUGGAGGCUGCAUCUCCAGCAGCCGCUAGUAGUCAACUGGGACCAGUGACCGGUUUCAUCGCAGACCUCUUCAACAAUAUUAUAGCGGUCGUCGACGCUGGAAUCAAGGAAGGUCUGAGCCUGCUGCACCUUAUACUGCCCACUCCAACUCCAACGCCUGCUGAAGUGGCCACUGAGAAACCUGAAGCCAGCUAAUAAAUGCCAAAAGAGCAAUUUCUGUCUUUCCACAUCCGGCGUCGCUUGUUCGGCACAGGAAUUGACUGGCCCGCAAAAAUUUACCAUGCGUUCCACGCAACGAGUGCCAA